RNAcentral lists this ribosomal RNA (246 nucleotides) under uncultured bacterium. Its description in RNAcentral is "partial 16S ribosomal RNA". It matches the Rfam family "Bacterial small subunit ribosomal RNA", at positions 102 to 334 of the family's 1533-position model. The record is from RNAcentral.
ACACGGGUAAGUAACGCGUGGAUAAUCUACCCUUAAGAUGGGGAUAACGACUGGAAACGGUCGCUAAUACCGAAUACGCUCCCGAUUUUAUCGUUGGGGGGAAAGAUGGCCUCUGCUUGCAAGCUAUCGCUUAAGGAUGAGUCCGCGUCCCAUUAGCUAGUUGGCGGAGUAACGACCCACCAAGGCAACGAUGGGUAGCCGGUCUGAGAGGAUGACCGGCCACACUGGAACUGGAACACGGUCCAG